GAAUUUGAUCAUGGCUCAGAUUGAACGCUGGCGGCAUGCCUUACACAUGCAAGUCGAACGGCAGCACGGGAGCUUGCUCCUGGUGGCGAGUGGCGAACGGGUGAGUAAUGCAUCGGAACGUAUCCUGGAGUGGGGGAUAACGUAGCGAAAGUUACGCUAAUACCGCAUAUUCUGUGAGCAGGAAAGCGGGGGACCUUCGGGCCUCGCGCUCUUGGAGCGGCCGAUGUCGGAUUAGCUAGUUGGUGAGGUAAAGGCUCACCAAGGCGACGAUCCGUAGCAGGUCUGAGAGGAUGAUCUGCCACACUGGAACUGAGACACGGUCCAGACUCCUACGGGAGGCAGCAGUGGGGAAUUUUGGACAAUGGGGGCAACCCUGAUCCAGCCAUGCCGCGUGAGUGAAGAAGGCCUCGG
RNAcentral lists this ribosomal RNA (411 nucleotides) under bacterium enrichment culture clone ALO1_GLFRUDD03GREGV. Its description in RNAcentral is "bacterial SSU rRNA". It matches the Rfam family "Bacterial small subunit ribosomal RNA", at positions 9 to 420 of the family's 1533-position model. The record is from RNAcentral.